Molecule: long non-coding RNA, 1067 nt
Organism: Thunnus maccoyii (southern bluefin tuna)
Lineage: Eukaryota; Metazoa; Chordata; Actinopteri; Scombriformes; Scombridae
Exons: 2
Source: RefSeq, a predicted model, not a curated record
UUGGCGCUGCUAUACAUGUUUUAUGGGACAUUAUUGUGUGAAAGCGGCCGUUGUGUGACCAUUUUACAGCAGUGUUGGCCGAGCCGGUUUGGUGUGCAGCGGUGAGGAUUUCAGGGAGCGUGGCAUCUGCUCUCCACCUACAUCGUGAAGUGGUGAUUGUAUGUUGGACCGGGUGUUAAGCUCUCUUCGCUUGGCUGUUAAGGCCACAGUUUGUGCCUCCUCUCCCCCUGCGCUCUGUGUGGGGCUGCAUCGUGCAGCCAGGUGAUCUGUGCCGCCAGCUGGGCAUCGUGAAGGACGACUUUCCACGGCCUCCAGUCCCGGUGCAGCCGCUAUGUCUCUCUCCCUCUUCUUUGCUGCUGCUGCUGCUGCCAGUAUUCACACACGCUGCUUAAAGUGCAUAGUGUGCUUCUGCAGCUUUUGUUCUCCAUCCCAUCACAACUCCUGUUUUGAUUCAGUUCUUUUCUUUUUGUUUAUUGAUUUAUUUGUUGUGGGUUAAUUUUUUUAUUUAAUUUAUUUAGUUUAAUAUUAGCUGUUGGGGUUGCUGCUACCACUCCUGGUCUCUGCCCACAGCAGAGUUUGGGUUAAUUCUGUUUUGUUAUUAUCUGCUACUUUGUGUGUUUUUUUUUUGUUUGUAUAUGUUUAGUUAGUGUUAGUUAUUGAAUUAGUUAUUUUGCUGGUUCUUUUUUUUGUUUGUGUGUAUGUGGGUGUGAGUGCUGUGUGUGUAUUUUAGUAUAGCCCUCCUGUUUUAACUGUGUAAUUUACUGUAUCUGCCUGAAUGUCCCCCUAUGAGCGGUAUUAUAAUUUUGUUUCUUUUCUUUUAGGACAGGAGCUGGCAAGGUGUGCGGCAGGUUUGUAGUGGGGUUUUUUUGUUUGAGUUGUGCCCCCCCCCCAUUUUUUUGAUUUAGUCUGCCCACUAACUAAGCCUUAGCCUUGUUCCUACUAUUUAUUUUAGUUAUUUUCAUACUGCAAAUGACUUUGUUGUUUUGGCACUCAGGCUGUUUACCAGUGACAUCUUUCUGUUCUUUUAAUGACAGUAAAUCUUAACCAAUAAAUUUUUGUAGUUGGAA